RNAcentral lists this long non-coding RNA (1324 nucleotides) under Anser brachyrhynchus (Pink-footed goose). RNAcentral's name for it is "lncRNA (ENSABRG00000002688.1)". The record is from RNAcentral. Lineage: Eukaryota; Metazoa; Chordata; Aves; Anseriformes; Anatidae.
AUGAUAAGGAUCUGCCUCCCUAGUCCUGCAAAUAGAGCAGUAGGUCUGGAAAGGAGAUGCUUAAUGUCCAUGGAUCGUCUCCUGCUCCAUUGCCGUAUCCGUUGGCAGUGUCCUGUGCUGCUAUUCCUCUUCUGCUGUUCAGCUGUUUUGUUCAAAUUGAAGCCUCUUUCUUCAGACAUCUCUCUACAGCACUCAGCAUUACAGCACCAAGAUCUUAACCAGAGCCUCUGCCUGUUGCCAAAGAAAAGACUGGAGAAUGGAGCUGAUUGAACAGCAUGAUUGUCUGACGAGAGCUGAAAAGCAGCACUUGCUGUAGGUAAUUUAAAUUGAGGCCUAUUAUCAUUUACGGAUUUAUUCUGCUUAGAAUCAAUAAGAUGAAAAAGGGUCUGAAAGCUUUACGCUAAUGCUAAUCGCUUUUGGGUCAGUAACUCCUUGUGUUUAAGUUAUGUAUUUCUUCCCUGUAUUCACUGAGCUACUUGGAAAGCGAAAUAUUUAAAAUAUUUUCCACUGAAGAGAGUCUCCCCUCCUACUUCACAGAGAAUUCGGCAUUGAUAAAUCUUUUGUUAAACUGAAAAAGUUCCCUGAGAGGGAAGUGACACCAACCAAAAGGACAAAAGAGAUGCUCUGGAAAGAAGUUCAGCACAAAUGCCCUGGAAAUUUUGAUUUAAAGCAGCAUUCAUGGUGGCUGGUGACUGAACUUUUCCCUAGGACACAGAGUGAAGCCAGGUUUGGGUAGCCACAGUCAUUCUACCUUCUACUAGAGCAACAAUUUUCUUCCUGGAUAAUUUAUCUUUGGGGGUUAGAGAUAUCACUGGACCCAGGACAGAAGAGAAAAGACCAAAAGGGGCGGGGGGGGGGGAUAGUUUAGAACCACGAUGAUUUUGGUAUAGUGAGUCAAUCAAGAGGGAAUACAGUGAAAGGAUUUCAUAUACAUCAAGGAGGAAAAAAAAAAGUGUGGUUAAACAGGACAGAAAAUGACAAAAAAAUCACUUUGACAAAUUUGUCUAGUAAGACCUUGUAAUCGUGUUUUGAGGCUGCAGGCAAGGGACCUAAGUGUGCUGUGCCAAAGGGCUGUGUUUGGCAGACUGGAGGAGAGCUGACAAGUUCCUAUGAGGAAGAAACCUAAAUACAUCGCUGAGCAAGGAGCCAUGCAGGAGUUCCCAGUCUUCCAGACUUACUUUGUUCCUUUUGAAGCUCAGGAACUGGUGCCAAAAAUCAGGCUUAAACAGAAGGUGAGGAAAAAUUGACCUCUGUUACAGUAAGAACGUCUACUGCAUUAAUAAUGCCUAAAUUAUGAAAUAAAAUGUCAUUUAUUUGCUAUACA